RNAcentral lists this long non-coding RNA (207 nucleotides) under Elaeis guineensis (African oil palm). RNAcentral describes it as "long non-coding RNA (EGUI_LNC032478)". The record is from RNAcentral. Lineage: Eukaryota; Viridiplantae; Streptophyta; Magnoliopsida; Arecales; Arecaceae.
GUGAGGAAUACUACAAUACUCUUCUCCUCUUUUAUGUGCCAUAACAAAGUGGUAUCAAAGCCAUGGCUAAUGUAGGAGGCUUUCAUAAUUAUUUCUUCCUCAUCUCAUCAACAUCAACUAUGAGAAUUGAGGUAUUCAAAUGAAGGUAUUGUUUGGAUCUCAAGAUAUUUGGCACAUAGUCAAAAGAGGCUAUGAAGAAGUCGAAGA